RNAcentral lists this unclassified non-coding RNA (84 nucleotides) under Algibacter luteus. RNAcentral describes it as "Arenitalea lutea Flavo-1 RNA". The record is from RNAcentral. Lineage: Bacteria; Pseudomonadati; Bacteroidota; Flavobacteriia; Flavobacteriales; Flavobacteriaceae.
AUAAAGUGCGUUAGGGAUAGUAGUGAAAAGCCCGCAGCCCGACGGAGGAGGAGCGAGGACUUGCAACGUAUAGCCCGACCCUUU